CCAAGUUUUUAAGGGCGCACGGUGGAUGCCUUGGCACCAGGAACCGAUGAAGGACGUGGGAGGCCACGAUAGGCCCCGGGGAGCUGUCAACCGAGCUUUGAUCCGGGGGUGUCCGAAUGGGGAAACCCGGCAGUCGUCAUGGGCUGUCACCCGCUGCUGAACACAUAGGCAGUGUGGAGGGAACGCGGGGAAGUGAAACAUCUCAGUACCCGCAGGAAGAGAAAACAACCGUGAUUCCGGGAGUAGUGGCGAGCGAAACUGGAUGAGGCCAAACCAGUCACGUGUGAUACCCGGCAGGGGUUGCGUGGUUGGGGUUGUGGGAUCUCUCUUUUGCAGUCUGCCGGCUGUGAGGCGAGUCAGAAACCGUUGAUGUAGGCGAAGGACAUGCGAAAGGUCCGGCGUAGAGGGUAAGACCCCCGUAGCUGAAACAUUAGCGGCUCGUUUGAGAGACACCCAAGUAGCACGGGGCCCGAGAAAUCCCGUGUGAAUCUGGCGGGACCACCCGUUAAGCCUAAAUAUUCCCUGGUGACCGAUAGCGGAUAGUACCGUGAGGGAAUGGUGAAAAGUACCGCGGGAGCGGAGUGAAAUAGUACCUGAAACCGUGUGCCUACAAGCCGUGGGAGCGUCGCUGGUGAGUUUACUCAUCAGUCGUGACUGCGUGCCUUUUGAAGAAUGAGCCUGCGAGUUUGCGGUAUGUUGCGAGGUUAACCCGUGUGGGGAAGCCGUAGCGAAAGCGAGUCCGAAUAGGGCGUGGAGUAGCAUGCUCAAGACCCGAAGCGGAGUGAUCUAGCCAUGGGCAGGUUGAAGCGGAGGUAAGACUUCGUGGAGGACCGAACCCACCAGGGUUGAAAACCUGGGGGAUGACCUGUGGUUAGGGGUGAAAGGCCAAUCAAACUCCGUGAUAGCUGGUUCUCCCCGAAAUGCAUUUAGGUGCAGCGUCGUGUGUUUCUUGCCGGAGGUAGAGCACUGGAUAGGCGAUGGGCCCUACCGGGUUACUGACCUUAGCCAAACUCCGAAUGCCGGUAAGUGAGAGCGCGGCAGUGAGACUGUGGGGGAUAAGCUCCAUGGUCGAGAGGGAAACAGCCCAGAGCAUCGACUAAGGCCCCUAAGCGUGUGCUAAGUGGGAAAGGAUGUGGAGUCGCAGAGACAACCAGGAGGUUGGCUUAGAAGCAGCCACCCUUGAAAGAGUGCGUAAUAGCUCACUGGUCAAGUGAUUCCGCGCCGACAAUGUAGCGGGGCUCAAGUACACCGCCGAAGUCGUGUCAUUGCAGCAUGAGGGCUAACGCCUGUUGUGAUGGGUAGGGGAGCGUCGUGUGCCGGGUGAAGCAGCCGUGGAAACGAGUUGUGGACGGUUCACGAGUGAGAAUGCAGGCAUGAGUAGCGAUACAAGAGUGGGAAACUCUUGCGCCGAUUGACUAAGGGUUCCUGGGUCAAGCUGAUCUGCCCAGGGUAAGUCGGGACCUAAGGCGAGGCCGACAGGCGUAGUCGAUGGACAACCGGUUGAUAUUCCGGUACCCGCUUUGAAGCGCCCAAUACUGAAUCAGGCGAUGCUAAGUCCGUGAAGCCGCCCUGAUCUCUUCGGAGUUGAGGGGAGUGGUGGAGCCGACGGACCAGACUUGUAGUAGGUAAGCGAUGGGGUGACGCAGGAAGGUAGUCCAGCCCGGGCGGUGGUUGUCCCGGGGUAAGGGUGUAGGCCGUGUGGUAGGUAAAUCCGUCGCACGUUAAGGCUGAGACCUGAUGCCGAGCCGAUUGUGGUGAAGUGGAUGAUCCUAUGCUGUCGAGAAAAGCCUCUAGUGAGUUUCAAGGCGGCCCGUACCCUAAACCGACUCAGGUGGUCAGGUAGAGAAUACCGAGGCGUUCGGGUGAACUAUGGUUAAGGAACUCGGCAAAAUGCCCCCGUAACUUCGGGAGAAGGGGGGCCAUUUCUGGUGAGGGAACUUGCUUCCUGAGCUGGGGGUGGCCGCAGAGACCAGCGAGAAGCGACUGUUUACUAAAAACACAGGUCCGUGCGAAGCCGUAAGGCGAUGUAUACGGACUGACGCCUGCCCGGUGCUGGAACGUUAAGGGGACCGGUUAGCUUGGAUUCGUUCAGGCGAAGCUGAGAACUUAAGCGCCAGUAAACGGCGGUGGUAACUAUAACCAUCCUAAGGUAGCGAAAUUCCUUGUCGGGUAAGUUCCGACCUGCACGAAUGGCGUAACGACUUCUCGACUGUCUCAACCAUAGGCCCGGUGAAAUUGCAUUACGAGUAAAGAUGCUCGUUUCGCGCAGCAGGACGGAAAGACCCCGGGACCUUUACUAUAGCUUGAUAUUGGUGUUCGGUUCGGCUUGUGUAGGAUAGGUGGGAGACUGUGAAGCGCCAACGCCAGUUGGUGUGGAGUCGUUGUUGAAAUACCACUCUGGUCGUGCUGGAUGUCUAACCUGGGUCCGUGAUCCGGAUCAGGGACAGUGUCUGGUGGGUAGUUUAACUGGGGCGGUUGCCUCCUAAAGAGUAACGGAGGCGCCCAAAGGUUCCCUCAGCCUGGUUGGUAAUCAGGUGUUGAGUGUAAGUGCACAAGGGAGCUUGACUGUGAGACUGACGGGUCGAGCAGGUACGAAAGUAGGGACUAGUGAUCCGGCGGUGGCUUGUGGAAGCGCCGUCGCUCAACGGAUAAAAGGUACCCCGGGGAUAACAGGCUGAUCUUCCCCAAGAGUCCAUAUCGACGGGAUGGUUUGGCACCUCGAUGUCGGCUCGUCGCAUCCUGGGGCUGGAGUCGGUCCCAAGGGUUGGGCUGUUCGCCCAUUAAAGCGGUACGCGAGCUGGGUUUAGAACGUCGUGAGACAGUUCGGUCCCUAUCCGCUGUGCGCGUAGGAGUCUUGAGAAGGGCUGUCCCUAGUACGAGAGGACCGGGACGGACGAACCUCUGGUGUGCCAGUUGUUCUGCCAAGGGCAUGGCUGGUUGGCUACGUUCGGAAAGGAUAACCGCUGAAAGCAUCUAAGCGGGAAGCCUGCUUCGAGAUGAGGGCUCCCUCCUCCUUGAGAGGGUAAGGCUCCCAGUAGACGACUGGGUUGAUAGGCCAGAUAUGGAAGCACUGUAAGGUGUGGAGUUGACUGGUACUAAUAGGCCGAGGGCUUGUCCUC
Molecule: ribosomal RNA, 3119 nt
Filed under: Streptomyces noursei
Lineage: Bacteria; Bacillati; Actinomycetota; Actinomycetes; Kitasatosporales; Streptomycetaceae
Description: 23S ribosomal RNA
Rfam family: Bacterial large subunit ribosomal RNA
Source: RNAcentral